ACCUACGGGGGGCAGCAGUGAGGAAUAUUGGUCAAUGGUCGGGAGACUGAACCAGCCAAGCCGCGUGAGGGAUGAAGGUACAGAGUAUCGUAAACCUCUUUUGUCAGGGAACAAAGGCGAGGACGUGUCCCCGGAUGAGUGUACCUGAAGAAAAAGCAUCGGCUAACUCCGUGCCAGCAGCCGCGGUAAUACGGAGGAUGCGAGCGUUAUCCGGAUUUAUUGGGUUUAAAGGGUGCGCAGGCGGUCUGUUAAGUCAGCGGUCAAAGCCCGGGGCUCAACCCCGGCCCGCCGUUGAAACUGGCAGU
RNAcentral lists this ribosomal RNA (305 nucleotides) under uncultured bacterium. Its description in RNAcentral is "bacterial SSU rRNA". It matches the Rfam family "Bacterial small subunit ribosomal RNA", at positions 337 to 640 of the family's 1533-position model. The record is from RNAcentral.